RNAcentral lists this ribosomal RNA (465 nucleotides) under uncultured bacterium. Its description in RNAcentral is "partial 16S ribosomal RNA". It matches the Rfam family "Bacterial small subunit ribosomal RNA", at positions 28 to 507 of the family's 1533-position model. The record is from RNAcentral.
GACGAACGCUGGCGGCGUGCUUAACACAUGCAAGUCGUACGGUAAGGCCCUUUCGGGGGUACACGAGUGGCGAACGGGUGAGUAACACGUGAGUAACCUGCCCACAACUUUGGGAUAACGCUUGGAAACUGGUGCUAAUACUGGAUAUGUGCUCCUGCUGCAUGGUGGGGGUUGGAAAGCUCCGGCGGUUGUGGAUGGACUCGCGGCCUAUCAGCUUGUUGGUGGGGUAGUGGCCUACCAAGGCGGCGACGGGUAGCCGGCCUGAGAGGGUGACCGGCCACAUUGGGACUGAGAUACGGCCCAGACUCCUACGGGAGGCAGCAGUGGGGAAUAUUGCACAAUGGGCGCAAGCCUGAUGCAGCAACGCCGCGUGCGGGAUGACGGCCUUCGGGUUGUAAACCGCUUUCAGCAGGGACGAAGCUUUUUGUGACGGUACCUGCAGAAGAAGCACCGGCUAACUACGUG